UAUUUUAUAUUUCAUAAGAAAUUUCAAUGGCAAGGAAAAUAAUGAAAAUUGAAACUCAACUUCUUAAAAGCAGUGGGCACAAUUCAGAACACUGCUGGUUUAUAUCCAGUUCAGUAUCAGCUAGUAAUUAGUUUUGAAUAUGAGCUAAUUUGACUCCAAAUUAAGAGUUAAAAGAGAAUGGAAAAAAAAAAAAAGAAUACAUAAUAUAGACUCAGGUAACCUAAUCUUAUCUUCUGGUAAGGUGUAAGUUUUCGAUGAAGCCCAUCAUCAAAUUGUUUGGAGGACACAGCUAUAUAGCAGUGUGUCUACUCAAGAACUACUUAACAGAGGAUAAUAGAAAGUUCAAGUAGCUUCUGCAUUUGAAUAUGAUGUUCUUCUAGUACUUUUUUAUUAUAUAGGAUAAAAGCCUUUCUACAGAUGAAGGCUCAUAGUCUUCUCUUUUAACCAAAAUUCUGUUCAAGUCCCUAACUUGUUCCAUUUUCCACAGUAAAACCAGUGAACUUAGACUGGUGAACAUGGGGUUGGAAUAUCCUCUAUGCAUGUUUUUCCAGUGGAAUUUACUCCUUAAGGUCAUUGAUAGUGAAAGCAAGCAAUAUGUUUCCUGGUGUUCAACCAUGUGGCACUUAAAAUGGACAGCUUUGCAUUUGUGGUCAAAGGGAAGACUUCAGCCUGCUUCUCCUUAGUCCCUAGGCAUCGUUUGGAGGACAUGUGCUCCUCUUCUUUCAAGCUACUCGACACAAGUUUGGUCCCAGCCCAGCAGGAGGUGGUGCCCCACUAGAAUGUCAGCUGUUUUGACAAAAGUUUGGCCCUUUUAACAAUUUUUAUGUGUACAAGGAAGAUCUAUCUGAUCUGUAGCAUUUGCCUUUUUGUCCACUAAGUGUAACUAUCAACUAACAUAAAGAAGCUAUAAUUACUAUGUAGCUAGAAUUACAAAAUAGAGUUUGUGGGGAACAUGCUCCAUCUUUUACAGCAGAGUAGUAAUGUUUAACAUCUCUUCUGCCUACUCAUAGCUUGGUACACAACAUAGCUAAAAUUGUAUAGAUCUCAUCAACCAAAGUGGCAUUCCCUUCAGACUAAAAAAGUCCUAGAUCCUAGUGAAUAUAAUAAAGAGAAAGAGUCUUUUC
RNAcentral lists this long non-coding RNA (1124 nucleotides) under Cyanistes caeruleus (blue tit). RNAcentral describes it as "lncRNA (ENSCCEG00000015256.1)". Lineage: Eukaryota; Metazoa; Chordata; Aves; Passeriformes; Paridae. The record is from RNAcentral.